This 572-nucleotide long non-coding RNA is filed under the name Sorghum bicolor (sorghum). RNAcentral describes it as "long non-coding RNA (SBIC_LNC016747)". Lineage: Eukaryota; Viridiplantae; Streptophyta; Magnoliopsida; Poales; Poaceae. The record is from RNAcentral.
UGCAGGAGUGUUGAAACGUCUAAUUUAGAGUACAUGUUAAGAGGAGUCUAGCAAAAUUAGAUUUAUAAUUUUUGGGCGGUUCUAUAAAUAUAUAUUGAAUUUACAAGUUUACAACAUUUACAACAUUUAGGGACCAAUGACACAACUAGAUAAGUUUGGAGAUCUAAAUAGGUGGUUUGCAUGUUCAGGGACCGAAAUAACAUAAUUGAACAAGUUUAAGUACCUAAAUGGUUGAUUUGCAAAUUUAUGGACGGAGAUGACACCAAUGAACAAUUUUGAGAACCUAAACGAUCGAUUUGCGAGUUUAAGGACCGGGAUAAUAUAAUCAAACAAGUUUGAGGGCCGUUUAUAGACUUUACUCUAAAAGUAAUAUUCACAAAAAAAAACUAAAAAGAAAAAGAUUUUCUCCUGGUUUUCUCAGGUGUUAAUAUUAUAUUAUAUUUACCCUGGUGAGUAAUAAUUUAUUAAACUACACACAAUGCCUUCAUCGACAAAUACUCGACAACAAUAUUAUCACUACCUGGUACGACGUACGAGUAGCUAAGGUUAGACAUAGGAAUUUCUAUCCAGAC